Molecule: ribosomal RNA, 546 nt
Filed under: Pichia kluyveri
Lineage: Eukaryota; Fungi; Ascomycota; Pichiomycetes; Pichiales; Pichiaceae
Description: eukaryotic LSU rRNA
Rfam family: Eukaryotic large subunit ribosomal RNA
Source: RNAcentral
AGCGGAGGAAAAGAAACCAACAGGGAUUGCCUCAGUAGCGGCGAGUGAAGCGGCAAGAGCUCAGAUUUGAAAUCUCACCUAGUGUGCGAGUUGUAAAUUGCAGGUUGGAGUCUCGGGUUAGACGUGUGUGCAAGUCCCUUGGAACAGGGUGCCACUGAGGGUGAGAGCCCCGUAGCGUGCAUGUCGAUACCUGUGAGGCCCUUCUGACGAGUCGAGUUGUURGGGAAUGCAGCUCUAAGUGGGUGGUAAAUUCCAUCUAAGGCUAAAUAUUGGCGAGAGACCGAUAGCGAACAAGUACUGUGAAGGAAAGAUGAAAAGCACUUUGAAAAGAGAGUGAAACAGCACGUGAAAUUGUUGAAAGGGAAGGGUAUUGGGCUCGACAUGGGAUUUACGCAUCGUUGCCUCUCGUGGGCGGCGCUCUGGGUUUUUCCUGGGCCAGCAUCGGUUUUCGUUGCAGGAUAAGGACAAUUGGAAUGUGGCUCCUCGGAGUGUUAUAGCCUUUUGUAGAUGCUGCGUAUGGGGACCGAGGGCUGCGGCGGACUCGUU